Long non-coding RNA from Fukomys damarensis (Damara mole-rat), 1069 nucleotides. RefSeq lists it as uncharacterized. The record is from RefSeq and is a predicted model, not a curated record. Lineage: Eukaryota; Metazoa; Chordata; Mammalia; Rodentia; Bathyergidae. The transcript has 6 exons.
UUUUUUUUUUUUUUGGUCGUAAUCGUGUGGACAUCAUUGGGAAUGGGGGGAACUAAAGUGACUGUAUGGUGGCUGCUUUGUAAGUUUCAAAGCAACAACAGCAGCUGUGCCUGAGCCCGUGUAUGCCUUGGGGACAGUCACAGCUCAGUUCCUGAGGAGGUGGAGCCCUCAGCUUCUCCCUGACAAGCAAAGUGGGGAGCAGGAAGAGGAGAGGACCUCAGGGGUGUGCAGUCUCCACCUCCUUCUCAUCCUUAAUGAACCAGAUCUUUCCAAGAAGACUACCAGGCUGCGCUCUGCUGACUUCUGGUGCCAGAACAAGAUGAAGCAGACACUUUUCCCCACUCCACUCCUCUAAACACAACUGAAUACCCUGGAAACUCUUCAAGAAACAAUGAUAAGAGCCCUAAAAGCUGUAAGAAAAGAAGGUGGACUGGCAAGAACCCUCAUGAGUUGAGAAAUAGCAGCCAGAAGCCCCAGGAUGCUGCCCCUCUGCCACCUGCCCCGUAGCCUUGAACCCAAAGACAAGAACCAGAGUCCCUUAGUUAGGGACUGCUGGUGACCUCACAGCAGGAAGUGGUUCUAAAAUGAUCCUGAUGGCCGCCAACACCACCCACAGGUCAGGUGGGCAGCAGCGGUCCCAGCUGUGCUCCUUAUUUAGCCUCAUUUUCAACCUGCUGACACUGUGUGGCUGUCUUCUGCGGAUGUGACGGUGAAGCAGCUGAGAGGUGGGAAGAGGUUCAGAGGGAAGCUGGAGAAGGAAAAUAAGGGUCAUCAAGUUGUGAGUCCUGCCGUCUCUUGAUCUCCAGCAGUGUCGGCUCGGGAGAAUCUCUCACACACCACGGAUCUAAGAUGCGACUCAGCAGAAGGCUCUGGAGUAUUUGGAGGAUAAAGCAGUUGAUGCUGUCAACACAGUCUCAGCCCGCUCCUCGCCUGAUGGAGGUCAAUCAGCUGGGAAGCAAGGUGAUGGUAGAGGAAGAAAACCUAUUACCAAGAGCCGGCUGAUUGGAAAAGGGUCAGACUCGUCCUAAGGAUUUUCUCAGCUAACAACUAAGCAAAAAACCUGUGUAGG